CGUUUGCGGUGGGCUUAACACAUGCAAGUCGAACGGCAGCACGGGGGCUUGCUCCUGGUGGCGAGUGGCGAACGGGUGAGUAAUGCAUCGGAACGUACCCAGUAGUGGGGGAUAGCCCGGCGAAAGCCGGAUUAAUACCGCAUAUUUCCUGAGGGAGAAAGCGGGGGACCUUCGGGCCUCGCGCUACUGGAGCGGCUGAUGUCGGAUUAGCUAGUUGGUGAGGUAAAGGCUCACCAAGGCGACGAUCCGUAGCUGGUCUGAGAGGAUGAUCAGCCACACUGGGACUGAGACACGGCCCAGACUCCUACGGGAGGCAGCAGUGGGGAAUUUUGGACAAUGGGGGCAACCCUGAUCCAGCCAUGCCGCGUGAGUGAAGAAAGCCUUCGGGUUGUAAAGCUCUUUCAGGUGGAAAGAAAUCACUACCCCGAAUACGGGUGGUGGAUGACGGUACCAUCAGAAGAAGCACCGGCUAACUACGUG
Molecule: ribosomal RNA, 480 nt
Filed under: uncultured bacterium
Lineage: Bacteria
Description: bacterial SSU rRNA
Rfam family: Bacterial small subunit ribosomal RNA
Source: RNAcentral